GGGAAUCAGAGUCGACUUCUGCUUCAACUGGAAUGGCAAGGCUGUAGAGCUGAGAUGAGAAACUGUAAACUUGCUCAGCCAAAGGAGGCUAAUAAUGAAGGGGCCAGGGAAGGAGGCCAAUGCUACAGGGUUAUCUCCUAACCUCAGAUGUUGGAUAAGUCCAUGGAAACAGCAGCGCUUCUGGAUGGCUUCAGAAAGGCUGGAGUGAUUGUUUGGACGAGAAAAACCCGCCUAUUCAUUCAAAGAUGUUAGUCUAUCUAGAACAACAGAUUUGGAUCUAAGCUGGACCUUUGAGAAAGAAAAGACUUCGAGGAAAAACACCUUUCCAUAUGUUUUAUUACCUUUCACCUGAAUUGUUUAAUGCACACUAUCCAACUAUAUUCAUCUUUCUUGCUUCAUGUGUAUUUCUUCUU
This 413-nucleotide long non-coding RNA is filed under the name Mus musculus (house mouse). Its description in RNAcentral is "rhabdomyosarcoma 2 associated transcript (non-coding RNA)". The stretch from base 106 to 245 matches the Rfam family "Rhabdomyosarcoma 2 associated transcript conserved region 8". Lineage: Eukaryota; Metazoa; Chordata; Mammalia; Rodentia; Muridae. The record is from RNAcentral.